RNAcentral lists this ribosomal RNA (494 nucleotides) under uncultured bacterium. RNAcentral's name for it is "partial 16S ribosomal RNA". It matches the Rfam family "Bacterial small subunit ribosomal RNA", at positions 28 to 507 of the family's 1533-position model. The record is from RNAcentral.
GACGAACGCUGGCGGCGUGCUUAACACAUGCAAGUCGAACGGUGAAGCGCCUUCCUUUUUGGUGGGUGUGGAUGAGUGGCGAACGGGUGAGUAACACGUGAGUAACCUGCCCCCUUCUUCUGGAUAACCGCAUGAAAGUGUGGCUAAUACGGGAUAUUCUGGGUCUGUCGCAUGAUGGGUCUGGGAAAGAUAUUGUUUCGGUGGGGGAUGGGCUCGCGGCCUAUCAGCUUGUUGGUGGGGUGAUGGCCUACCAAGGCGGUGACGGGUAGCCGGCCUGAGAGGGUGGACGGUCACACUGGGACUGAGACACGGCCCAGACUCCUACGGGAGGCAGCAGUGGGGAAUAUUGCACAAUGGGCGCAAGCCCGAUGCAGCGACGCCGCGUGAGGGAUGGAGGCCUUCGGGUUGUGAACCUCUUUCGCCAGUGAAGCAGGCCUGCCUCGUUUGUGGGUGGGUUGACGGUAGCUGGAGAAGAAGCGCCGGCUAACUACGUG